This is a long non-coding RNA of Mesocricetus auratus (golden hamster), 2296 nucleotides long. RefSeq lists it as uncharacterized. The transcript has 4 exons. The record is from RefSeq and is a predicted model, not a curated record. NCBI's taxonomy places the organism in Eukaryota, Metazoa, Chordata, Mammalia, Rodentia, Cricetidae.
CUGAGGAUUCGCUGAGACAGGAUUGCCUUUUCAGCUGCAUGGAGGACCAGGUUAUGUGGAAGUGUGAUCUUCCUCCCCCACCCUCCUGAUUGCUGGGAUUCCAGGCGUUCAACCCCAUACCUGGCUCCUAAAGCUUUCAAUACAUGUUUGGGGUGGCCUGCACUACAUACCUGAAACUUCGUCUCAACAAACUCACUCCCGCCAUGGAUCCCAGAAGGGUCACAGUCUAACCUUGUAUUAACCAUAUCCAGUAUGGGACACACCAGUAAAUAUGUCCUGGUCUUAUCUAUUGCAUCUUUGACUUGGACAUGGACAAAGAUGACUGGACUCUAGUGGCAAUGAAUACCAGCGCAGAGCCAGCGACCUCCCUCAUCUGGUAUUCAGAGGAACCGGAAGUGGGUUGAUCUCCCUGCUUUGAAGAACCAGACAGUGCUGCAGAUGCGCUCUAAAAAUUGACCCUGUUAUUUACUGCGGAGCAAACGUCAGCUGAGCAGUAAGCUGUUCAUCCACACUUCUACACUCUCAUCUUCAGUGCUGUAGGACAAGAGUAACCGUCUUCGCCAUUUGAGAGAUUCCUUCAUUCAAUAGGGCUUUGAUGACUACAAUAAUCAGUGAUUAUAUGAAUUAUUAGCUGACUGAAUCAGGCCAAAGGGCCAGAGACCUCAGUGGAGAAUGCUGGGCAAACGUGAGCAGGGCCCUGAGUUCAAUGCUCAUGACUGUGGAAGCACACACCUUAACAUGUGACAGGGAAAGCCUGCUGUGACCCGCAGCUUGAAGGAGAACAGCUGGGGUCUAAGCUAACCCUUGGCUAAUCCCAUCUCCUGCUUGAAUCAGCACACAGACUAGCAUGCAGGAGACUGUGAGAAAGGGGAGAGGAAAUGAAAAGUAGACUCUUGAGUUAAAAAAAAACCAAAGAAAAAGUUGGUUAAAGUCUUGGUUAAUAUAGCAAAAAACAAUUGAUUUUUUUUUCCAAAACAGCAAUGGGGUGGUCACCGGAGCCUGUGGGCUGCAGAGCAAGUGUCAGGUGAGCGCCGUGCUCGUAGGCGAGCACCAUGCAAGUGAGUACACUCGCUUAGCUCCGUUUUCAGUGAGUGCAACAACUCAAGGCAAGUCUGUGCAUAAGCUGAGGUCAGGUCAGGGGUCUGACGCUGUCCUUGGCGACACAUCUGGUCGCACCGAUUUUUAUAACAAAGGAUUGCAGAAAUUCAGCUUUAAUUGAAAAAGGAAGAAGGAAAAAAAAUGAGGUCCAUUUAAAGCGCCUCUGGAAAUUGCUACAUGAUUGUCAGACUGAGUCCUGAGAGAGGCCGUGAGAACGGCACGGCCGUGAUGCGGGAACGGAAGUAUGGAGGCCUGUGGUGGUUGCUCUACUUCUCAGGUUUCACGUAUAUAAAAUGUCAAAGGACUUGUUCUUUCUCACUGUUGAGAAUGCUGUUUAAUUUUUUCUACCUCAUAAACAUAGAGUCAAAUAAGCAAUGUCUUGUAUUUGGAAGGAAAAAUGAAGGACUCUGAGGUCCAGAUGUGCUGCGUUCCCACAUAGGACCAGCAGGGAAAGACAAACGACCCCGCUGCUCUCCCACUCUUGCUCUGUGAGAGAAAAACCUGGGAGUCAACACUUAGACUCAGCACAGCCCACCCCACAGCCAUGGCUUCCUUUCCUCUGGCUCCCUGCACUGCUACAUCUUUUAGGUCCUCUCCGAGACUGCUCUCUCUGUGUGGGGCCGUGGCUAACGCUUUCCUGCUCCAGGUUCCUAGGCUGUCUGCUGGGUUUCCGGAGUCUACUCAAGUAGAGUGUGUCCUCCCGCCCCCAGACCCUGCAGAGAACAGAGCGGGGUGGAGGGCAAUUCCCUUGCGUAAUUGGCUCAAGAGAUGAAAAUCUUGCACAGGUCUCCCUUAGCCACUAAUCUAUCCAGCUGACUGCAAGCCUAAUUGGCAGCUUGUUGAGUAAUUUGGCUCCUAAAGUGUUGUAUUGAUGUUGGAUCAACAUCCAGUGGGAAGGGAGGUGACAGGCUGCUUCCCAUAUGGCAGCAAGCUUGGGCCUGUCCUGUCCCUGCCCUGAAUCCAGAGGGUGGUUACAAGUUCUCCCUUCUUCUUUACAGUCCUUUUCCUAGCCAUCAGAGGGUCAGGGCGAUUACUAGCUAUGUUAUCAAAACUGUGAGCAGUAAUUAUGUUUUCAGUACCUACUUUAGGGACAAGAAGUGAGAAUAUGCUAAGUGUUACUACUGUUAGUCAAAUGCGUCAAUUAUUUGACCUGUAAUAUUACACAUACAUUUCAUGGAAAUAAAAGUGUAAAAAUCAA